This 1335-nucleotide long non-coding RNA is filed under the name Homo sapiens (human). RNAcentral describes it as "long intergenic non-protein coding RNA 2987". Lineage: Eukaryota; Metazoa; Chordata; Mammalia; Primates; Hominidae. The record is from RNAcentral.
CUCUGCCAAGGCGCCUAUGAGAGCCUCUUGGCUUUUACCUGGUCUGCGAGAAAUCAAACUUUGGGCACAAGUCAUGAAGCCGACAAGCCCGGGAGACACAGUGUCAGAAUUACAAGGUGAGAUCAGCCGCCCGGCCAAGCUAUCUUCUCGCUAGCAGGUCUCGCAUCUGGGGCUCGAUCUCGUGCAGAGGAGCAUUUCCGAAGACACUGGCCGCUCCCACAAUGGCUCCGAAGAACCCAGCGACCAGCGGGUUCAUGAGUUUGUUGGGGCUGUCCACUCGGUACCAGCUGCGCAGGGAUGUCAGGACAAAGAAACAAGUUGCCUGGUUCCAGCCCUGCUUCAGCACGGGGCCUGUGGGGCCCCGGUAAGUCCCGGUGUUCCCGCACAAUCUCCUAACCCUGUGGAAGAAUCCCCUGUACUUGGAUUUGGAGAGGUCUGGCCAUGGAUUAACUUCACCUUGAUGGUCUCCAUGGGACAUAGGACCACCACGGCCUCGGCCACGCUAGCUCACUGGCCGCACCGCUGCCCGCCUUGCUGUUCACCAGUCCCUGGGCAUCCCGCAUCUGGUUGCUGAGGAACGCCUGACGCCGCCUUGUGGAUGAAGCCGCAGAGCAGGGAGCUGAGGCUGCGGCCCAGGCCCAGGCUGCCUUGGCUGCGACUGUGUGCCUGCAGGCCCCAUGCCCGGUAUCCGGUGGAUGCGAGUGCUAGUCCAGCUGCAGCUGCAUCUUCACGAACUCGGUGGGGAACGGGAUGCAGAUUUUUUUUUUCUUUUCCUUCCUUCCUUCCUUCCUUCCAACUUCCUUCCUUCCUUCCCCUUUCUUUCUUUCUUUUUUUUUUUUUUUUUUUUUUGACAGAAUUUUGCUCUUGUCCCCCAGGCUGGAGUGCAGUGGCGCGAUCUUGGCUCACUACAACCUGGAUUCAAGCGAUUCUCCUGCCUCAGCCUCCCGAGUAGCUGGGAUUACAGGCAUGUGCCACCAUUCCCGGCUAAUUUUUUUGUCUUUUUAGUAGAGACGGUGUUUCCCCAUGUUGGUCAGGCUGGUCUCAAACGCCUGACUCAGAUGAUCCGCCCGCCUCGGCCACCCAAAGUGCUGAGAUUACAGGCUUGAACCACCGCGCCUGGCCCUGUGAUGUAGAUUUUGAUGCUGCCAGCCAGGCUGCCUGCCGGGAUCGCCUGCCCUGGAGCAGGAGCAUCAGCCGUGCGUUCCAGGACGCAGGCAUGGCAUGACCGGCAGGAGGCGGAGUGCCCGGCGUCUCUUGGGAUCGGAGCCUCCUGAAUUCCACGCUGGGACCUUAAUUUGGUUUUAACACAAAUAAAGAUCUCACAUAAAGAUAAAA